CAAAGAUUUAUCGCUCUGAGAUGGACUCGCGUCUGAUUAGCUAGUUGGCGGGGCAACGGCCCACCAAGGCGACGAUCAGUAGCCGGACUGAGAGGUUGGCCGGCCACAUUGGGACUGAGAUACGGCCCAGACUCCUACGGGAGGCAGCAGUGGGGAAUAUUGGGCAAUGGGCGCAAGCCUGACCCAGCAACGCCGCGUGAAGGAAGAAGGCUUUCGGGUUGUAAACUUCUUUUCUUAGGGACGAAGAGAGUGACGGUACCUAAGGAAUAAGCCACGGCUAACUACGUGCCAGCAGCCGCGGUAAUACGUAGGUGGCAAGCGUUAUCCGGAUUUACUGGGUGUAAAGGGCGUGUAGGCGGGACUGCAAGUCAGAUGUGAAAACCAUGGGCUCAACCUGUGGCCUGCAUUUGAAACUGUAGUUCUUGAGUACUGGAGAGGCAGACGGAAUUCCUAGUGUAGCGGUGAAAUGCGUAGAUAUUAGGAGGAACACCAGUGGCGAAGGCGGUCUGCUGGACAGCAACUGACGCUGAGGCGCGAAAGCGUGGGGAGCAAACAGGAUUAGAUACCCUGGUAGUCCACGCUGUAAACGAUGGAUACUAGGUGUGGGGGGACUGACCCCCUCC
RNAcentral lists this ribosomal RNA (623 nucleotides) under uncultured bacterium. Its description in RNAcentral is "bacterial SSU rRNA". It matches the Rfam family "Bacterial small subunit ribosomal RNA", at positions 202 to 842 of the family's 1533-position model. The record is from RNAcentral.